GUCAAUGGCCUAACGGCUGAACCAGCAACUUGGAUGAAUGAAAAAUGCAAGUCUCGAAAGGCACUAGCCUCUAGAGGCCCGAGCCUCUGUAAUUUAAUUGCUAUAUAAAUUAUAGAACGUAACUACGUUACCUAAAGUUCUAGGUAGAUAUUUGAUAAUGACAUUAUUUAUCUAUAAGUCUUGACCAAGUCUCGUGCCAGCAGUCGCGGUAACACGGGGAAGACAAGUGUUAUUCAUCUUUAAUUGGUUUAAAGGGUACCUAGACAGUUAAUCAAGCCUACAUAAGGGACUAAUUAUACUAGAGUUUUAUAGGAUAAGGAUAGAACGGUNAGNGGAGAGAUGAAAUUCUUUGAUACACCUUAGAUACUGAGAGCGGCGAAAGCAACCUUAUAUCUAAAAACUGACGUUGAGGGACGAAGGCUUUAUUUAAUUAACAGGAUUAGAUACCCCAGUAGUCUUAGCAGACAAUGAUGAGUGUCAUAUGUAUGAAUUUUAUACGUAUAAAUGAAAGUGUAAGCACUCCACCUUAAGAGUAAUAUGGCAACAUAGGAACUGAAAUCAUUAGACCGUUUCUGAAACCAGUAGUGAAGUAUGUUGUUUAAUUUGAUGACCCGCAAAGAACCUUACCAUGAUUUGAAUAGAUUUCUAUAUAGAAAUUUACAGGAGUUGCACGGCUGUCUUCAGUUGAUAUCGUGAGAUUUUGGUUAGCUCCAUUU
Molecule: ribosomal RNA, 716 nt
Filed under: Porina atrocoerulea
Lineage: Eukaryota; Fungi; Ascomycota; Lecanoromycetes; Ostropales; Porinaceae
Description: SSU rRNA
Rfam family: Bacterial small subunit ribosomal RNA
Source: RNAcentral